RNAcentral lists this transfer RNA (71 nucleotides) under Strongylocentrotus purpuratus (purple sea urchin). It matches the Rfam family "tRNA". From Rfam's summary of the family: Transfer RNA (tRNA) molecules are approximately 80 nucleotides in length. Their secondary structure includes four short double-helical elements and three loops (D, anti-codon, and T loops). Lineage: Eukaryota; Metazoa; Echinodermata; Echinoidea; Camarodonta; Strongylocentrotidae. The record is from Rfam by way of RNAcentral.
GCGCGAUGGCUCAGUGGUAGAGCAGUGGUCUCGUAACCGCGAGGUCUCAGGUUCGAAACCGAGUCGAUGCG